Molecule: ribosomal RNA, 585 nt
Filed under: uncultured bacterium
Lineage: Bacteria
Description: partial 16S ribosomal RNA
Rfam family: Bacterial small subunit ribosomal RNA
Source: RNAcentral
UGGGGAAUUUUGGACAAUGGGCGAAAGCCUGAUCCAGCCAUGCCGCGUGCAGGAUGAAGGCCUUCGGGUUGUAAACUGCUUUUUGUACGGAACGAAAAGACUCUGGUUAAUACCUGGGGUCCAUGACGGUACCGUAAGAAUAAGCACCGGCUAACUACGUGCCAGCAGCCGCGGUAAUACGUAGGGUGCAAGCGUUAAUCGGAAUUACUGGGCGUAAAGCGUGCGCAGGCGGUUAUAUAAGACAGAUGUGAAAUCCCCGGGCUCAACCUGGGAACUGCAUUUGUGACUGUAUAGCUAGAGUACGGCAGAGGGGGAUGGAAUUCCGCGUGUAGCAGUGAAAUGCGUAGAUAUGCGGAGGAACACCGAUGGCGAAGGCAAUCCCCUGGGCCUGUACUGACGCUCAUGCACGAAAGCGUGGGGAGCAAACAGGAUUAGAUACCCUGGUAGUCCACGCCCUAAACGAUGUCAACUGGUUGUUGGGUCUUCACUGACUCAGUAACGAAGCUAACGCGUGAAGUUGACCGCCUGGGGAGUACGCCGCAAGGUUGAAACUUAAAGGAAUUGACGGGGUCAUAGCUGUUUCCU